RNAcentral lists this unclassified non-coding RNA (343 nucleotides) under soil metagenome. RNAcentral describes it as "partial contains 5.8S ribosomal RNA, internal transcribed spacer 2, and large subunit ribosomal RNA". The stretch from base 1 to 120 matches the Rfam family "5.8S ribosomal RNA", at positions 35 to 154 of the family's 154-position model. The record is from RNAcentral.
GAUGAAGAACGUAGCGAAAUGCGAUAAGUAAUGUGAAUUGCAGAAUUCAGUGAAUCAUCGAAUCUUUGAACGCACAUUGCGCCCGCCAGUAUUCUGGCGGGCAUGCCUGUCUGAGCGUCAUUUCAACCCUCAAGCCCCCGGGCUUGGUGUUGGGGAUCGGCGAGCCUCCGCGCCCGCCGUCCCCUAAAUCUAGUGGCGGUCUCGCUGUAGCUUCCUCUGCGUAGUAGCACACCUCGCACUGGGAAACAGCGCGGCCACGCCGUUAAACCCCCAACUUCUGAACGUUUGACCUCGGAUCAGGUAGGAAUACCCGCUGAACUUAAGCAUAUCAAUAAGCGGAGGA